CAAGACUCUCAUUGUAUGUGUUUCCAAGUGUGGAUGUGGGCGAAAGAGAUGGUGUGGUUAUAUAUGAGAAGAGCAAAAGCAGGUGAUGCUACAGCUGUGCCCGAUCCUCCCUCUGACCACAAGCAACACAUGGGACAGUCACAAGCAGGGCUGACACUUCAGCAGCAGGGAUUUCCCUGAACUCCAAUAAGGUCCCUCUGACUACAGCCUAAUCAACUCAGAGAGAAAGACAUGCGUCCAAGUGUCGGGUGCGUUUAAGUAUAAUCGCUUUAUCAAAGUUAAGUGUUUCACUUCAGGUAAUUAAAGAUGUACGCUAUAGUUUGAAAUGAAAAGUCAGUUUGUGUGGGAGAUCCCUUUAUUUCCCAUUCUUUUCUUUUCUCUUUUUCCCCUAAUUUCAGAACUGGCUGAAUAAAAUGGUAAGUAUAUUACCUUUAUCAUCUGACAUAGAGAAUAUAUAACAAUAGUAAUUUAAUUUAAAAAAUAAUGUAAUACAGCACACAAAUACUUUAUGUAUAAACAGGCAUACAACUUUUUGGUUCACAAAAUAUAGAAAAGUCUUUGUUAGACUCACCCAGCAUACUAUGUCUCUCAAACACUUAAAUCAAUACAUUUUUUAUAAAUCAUUCUAUUUUUUAAUCUCUAAAUUGUCCAAAAAUAGUGAAAAAUACCCCUCACAAUUUCUCAGAGCUAUAAGUGACAUCUUCAACUUUCCCAAAACCCCCAAAAUAUCAAAUUUACACUGUUGCAAAACAGAAAAAAGUGGGAAAUCAUCCCAUUUGUGAAGCUAAUGGAUAUCUUAUAUUUAUAGCUAAAAAUAUUAAAUAUAUUAAAAUAUGAAAUGGGUUGUGGAAACAGAAAAGAAUAUUGAUUACAAUUCACCAAGAAAUCUUCACUGUGCAAGACAGUUACAUUAUCUGCAGUACAUAUAUACUCUGUGACCUGUAUUUCAUGUACUUCCAGUCAUUGGAGUCAUUGUUGGAGACAUGAAGUAUUGAGACAACGGUGGGGAGGACACAGAGCUCCUGUUCACACAGGAACACCCUUCCUGAACUACCUUCCUGCCGUCCCCUGGGACUGUCUGUCUGUUACCCGAUAAACUGAUAAAAACGUAUACAAGUAGAGAAACAGUGCAAACAGUGUGUUCACACACUUGUUUGUGCUAGUUUGCCGGUCACCUAGCAAACAACAAACAAACACGAGUGACCACAUUAAAGGACCAGUGUGUAACAUUUAGGAGGAUCUAUUGGCAGAAAUUGAAUAUAAUAUUCAUAGGCAUGUUUUCAUUAAAGGCAUACUAUGCAGUUUUCCGGUUUUGUCAAACAGCUACCCCUAGAGUCGCUGCGGAGUACUUGUAUUUAACGUUAACUGUCGUAAAUACCACUCACCAGAGCCGUCUCUAUAUACAGCUCUGCGUCUCUGCACUCAUAGCCUGAUUCCCCCCCCCGUAUACCGGUACAUGUUCAGUAGGAUGGAAGCGUCGGACAUCGAACAGGCAAAGAUAGACUCCGAAGAUGUCUACUGACCAGGUAACGUCUGAGUGAAUGCCUGCUAGUGUUUUCCAUUGAGGCUGCUUCUUAUGUCGCUGAUGUAUGUGAUGUCGCGCCGUAAAGCAAUUCGUGAUUCGUGAGAUUUGGCGUGACGCCACCUUUCAGACUUGCAUUGCUGGUUCUGCCAACGGCGUCCCUCUCCUGCUUUGCUAUCGGGAUGAUUCGCUAUACUACGAGUUUGUUAACCAUCGAAAUGACUUAGAAGCUGUUAUAUUAAGGUAAAAAUCUUGCAUAGUGUGCCUUUAAUGUAUAAUCACCUCAAUAUAGUAAUUGGUUAUGUUUUUGUUACCUUAGAAUGAGACGUUUUUAUCUACAGACUCCACAGGUCGCCUUUUAUGGAGUCCGCCAUGUUUAACCGUCAUGUUUCUGCAGUAGCACCUGGCCUGUUGCGUUUUUCACUAGGUUCGCGGUUUCACACAGUUUCAACACACCUCACAGCUCAUGUUCAUUCCCAGGUCGUCCAAUACAGAUGGAAGUGGUGUUCAGUUAGUUGCAAUCAGCAACUUCACCACUAGAUGCCACUAAAUCCUACACACUGGUCCUUUAACAGUGGCCCAAGAGCUACAGGGGAGAGUUUGGGCGUAGCAAACUAAUGAAGGGCUGAUGUGAGUUAACACCUGAGUGACACCUCAGGGUAAAAGUCAUCAUAAGUUGUCACCAGACUAACAGACUAGUUUGUCCUGCAAAGUAAACUAAAUGUAUCCUGCUAAUAGAUGGUGUAGUGACAGUGCUCUGAAUAGACCAUGGAUUUUCCAAUUACAUUAGGUACGUGGACGAAAUUCAUAACAAGAUAAGAUGUAAUAAAAUCAACUUUAUUAUCCCUGUAGGGUAUUUUUGUUUCUUAGACACUGAAGCUGCAGCAUAAAGGGCAAUAAAAGCAGCCAGUGUCAGAACAAGAACAAACACCACCUGUCAGACAUACCAGUCACAUCAUACUUUCAGAUCUGACAAGAGUUUGCUUAAUAAAGCUUACUGGAGAUUCAUUACAAAUGUUGUGCGGCCAAGCAUUGUUCAAAGACACACAAAUGGAGCGAUGCCUUUGCAAGCUAGUUCAGACAGUCAACCUCGAGCUGCACUGCUGUAUACACACGUGAGAUGUCUCUUUCUAUAAUCAUAUACCAAACACACCCUCCCAAUUUGGGCGGUGUAUUUAAGUUGCAAGAUCUCCCAUUUCUCCUUCUGCUCUGUCAAUUUCGCAGCUGCCCUUCAUCAGUAUGGCUCCCUGUGCUUUCAGCCCCACCACCACCCAGCAUCCACCUGCGGGCUCCAGAUACAGGCUUUAAGAAUUAAGAUAUUUGCUCAUCACUUUCCAAUAUCAAUCACCAAACUAUGUUCUGCUGCUGCAGUAAAUUCUAUUUUCUUCUUAUUCUACUGAAGAUAUAAACGUUUCCAGAGAUGUAACUUACCCCAUAUGUCAGGCUGAAUGUUGUGAGAUGUGUGUAAAAGGAUGCAAAAGACAACUGAAAUAUAGUCAGUGGUGGAAUCUAACUGUACUUAAGUACUGUACUCAAAUUACAAUUUGAGGUACGUGUACUUUACUUGACUGUUUUCUUCUCAUGCCACUUUCUGGGCCUAUGCAUUUCAGAGGGAACUAUUCUUUUUACUCCACUACAAGCAGAGUAAUUUGACCGCUUUAGUUAAUUUACUAAUUCAACAUUUUUGAGAAAAGUGCGGCUGACUUUUUGACUUUUAAAGUAAUUUUUCAAAAACGUUUCACAGUUCCAGCUUCACAUGUGAAAAUUUGCAGCUUUUCCUCUGAUCCAUAAUGAAAAAAAGCAUUAGUUGCAAUCCUGAACAAAAUAGUUCAAAAUUAGCUCCACCUCAACCAACUACGACAGUAAAAUCCUACUUUUACAUUAAUGCAAUGGUCAUAAUAAUCUAAUGCUAUAUAAUGGUAUAACAGUCCCAGGGUCCCUUUCUGCAUCCAGUACUUUUUAAAAACACUUUAUUUAUAGAUUUUCAGUUUACAGAACAAAAUUAAACAGCAGUACAGAAUCCCAAUGUCAGUACUUUAACCUUUAAUACUCUCAGUACAUUUUCUUGAUGAGACUUACAUACUUUAACUCAAGUCUUUCAAGUGAGGACUUUUACUUGUAUUUUUACAGCAUGGCAUUAGUUAGUUUUAGUGAAGUACAUGAUUUGACUACUUCCUCAGUGACUGAAUAUAGUGUCUUUGCCUUGGUUUUGAAUAUUUAAUUGAAUGUAAUUGAAUAUACAGUAAACAUUUGGCUGUAAUACUGUAGGUGUUGCAGUAAAUACAGAAAAUACUGUAUGCUGAAAAUAUGUAGACUGUCAUACAACUUCUUUCUAACUUAACUGUAAAACUACUGUAUAAGUAGAAAUGCAUUAGGGAAAAUCAGAGGUGAUUAACUUAUCUUGUCUGUUUGAAGAGAAGAGAAGAGAAGAGAAGAGAAGAGAAGAGGAGAGGUGUACUUUCCUAUUACUGUCAUGUAGAACAGCAGUCCUUAAUUCACACACAGUCCUCACUAGCUGGCCUGUGCCGAAACAGCGAUUCACACUGCCAUCUGUUGGAGAGAUAUAAAGCCUGGAGAAAAGCUUGGAGCUGCUAUCGCUGCAUUCUGUGAUCCGUGCCAAAUUCUAUCAUCACAUGAUUACUGACGAAUGGAGACAUGACAUGCAAAUGAGAUAUGAGAUACUGGAUGAGGUAGACUGAGGGAGUUGCGUGGUAGCCUUGAUAUGUAAUGAAUGGUAUUUAGGUGUUGUGGAUUGGUGUGGCUUAUUCAGCAUGGGAAACAAGGCCAGUAUAUAUACUGAAUAGUGCAGUCCUGACUGGAUUACAGAGCACAUAGCUUGUCUUUGAACAAUCAAGACACAGACAGUGAGCACGUACACAGGCAACCAAAAACACAGCAACUCAAAGAGACACAUGUACCUCCCAUUCUUGCUCUCUCACUAUCUCUCUCUCUCUUUAUCUCUCCGUUUCUCUCUGACAGUCACCUUGAGGAAGACUACGGAAUGAAAAGGAAGGAAGCAAAAUAGAGAAAAUACAAGAGUAGAGUAGAGGAGACAGAGGUGCAGGACUGCCAGAAGGAAAGACUACCAGCUCCAGGAAUGUCUUGGCAUCGGUGUCCGACCAGGCCGCGCUAUUCAACAAAACAAGAUUCCUGUCAUUGAAAUGCUCUCAAUCGCACUAGACAAUGGAGACAGAGCUGGGACAGAAAGAGAGAUAAGACAAGAGGAAAACAAUUGCACAGGUCACCGUCCUUGCAUGCUGUAAUGAAUGCGUAAUGUGUUUUCCAACCACUAUGACCUCAGAAGGCCUGGUGCUACAACCUGCAUAACAUUUUAUAGCGUCAUUCUUUUCACCUUUGUUAGGACUUGGUCUACGUACACAGCACUAGCAUGCCUCACAAUGAUGUUCAUUCCAGUGGAAAUAGGAUUUUGAAUGACUGAGUAAGGUUUUAAAAUGCUGUUAUGGUCAAAACCCAAAAUAUGUAGUGUUCUUAAUUUUCAGAUUGUGUUUUGUGUUUUUAUUUAUUUACUAGUCCAUUUUCUUUCUGUUAAAUUAUCUUCAAUUAGCAGAACAUUUUAUUUUUAUUUCUGCUACUGUCCAGAGAUGAAAAGCUUGCCACAUUUUUUCCAAGACAGGCUGUUGCUAAAAGGAGAGUAUAUCUCAGACUUCAACAGCCAGAAACAAGUUCGUAAUUGAUGCUUAAGUUGCACAUUCACCAUGUACAUUUUUGAAGGUGAUAAUAUGUCAUUGUUAUGUUUAAAGCUCAGUGACCAAAAAAUUCAAACUCAGAUGUUGGAUGAUCUCAUUUCCUGUUUUUCGGUUGCUGUCUUGAACAGCCAACAGAUUAGAGUUACUGUUGUGAUGUAUCAACUGUCAACAGCAAGCAGCACAAGGUAAAUGCGUCUAAAAUAAAAGGGAGGUACCAUGUUUAAAUAAUUUCCACAACAAAAAGGGAUUUAUGUGUUAAUAUCCAGUGUAACAAAGAUACUAGAGUGGUUGUCUCCAGUUAUGUCCCACCAAUGUUUGCAUAAAAUUAUAAAGACUACAGUAUAAUAAAAGCAACAGCAUAA
Molecule: long non-coding RNA, 5591 nt
Organism: Dicentrarchus labrax (European seabass)
Lineage: Eukaryota; Metazoa; Chordata; Actinopteri; Moronidae
Exons: 2
Source: RefSeq, a predicted model, not a curated record